RNAcentral lists this ribosomal RNA (516 nucleotides) under uncultured bacterium. RNAcentral's name for it is "bacterial SSU rRNA". It matches the Rfam family "Bacterial small subunit ribosomal RNA", at positions 10 to 518 of the family's 1533-position model. The record is from RNAcentral.
AGUUAAUCAUGGCUCAGGAUGAACGCUAGCGGCAGGCUUAACACAUGCAAGUCGAGGGGCAGCGGGAUGUAGCAAUACAUUGCCGGCGACCGGCGGAUGGGUGCGUAACGCGUAUGCAACCUACCUUAUACAGGGGAAUAACCUUUCGAAAGGGAGACUAACACCCCAUAGUAUUGAUUUAAGGCAUCUUAGAUUAAUUAAAUAUUUAUAGGUAUAAGAUGGGCAUGCGUAUGAUUAGCUAGUUGGUAAGGUAACGGCUUACCAAGGCGACGAUCAUUAGGGGUUCUGAGAGGAAGGUCCCCCCACACUGGUGCUGAGACACGGACCAGACUCCUACGGGAGGCAGCAGUGAGGAAUAUUGGUCAAUGGGCGCAAGCCUGAACCAGCCAUGCCGCGUGCAGGAAAGACGGCCUUAUGGGUUGUAAACUGCUUUUACAUAAGACUAACCGUAUAUUUGCGAAUAUACCUGAAUGUAUUAUGAGAAUAAGGAUCGGCUGACUCCGUGCCAGCCGCAGC